RNAcentral lists this ribosomal RNA (326 nucleotides) under Salmonella enterica subsp. enterica serovar Agona. Its description in RNAcentral is "bacterial SSU rRNA". It matches the Rfam family "Bacterial small subunit ribosomal RNA", at positions 1 to 325 of the family's 1533-position model. Lineage: Bacteria; Pseudomonadati; Pseudomonadota; Gammaproteobacteria; Enterobacterales; Enterobacteriaceae. The record is from RNAcentral.
AAAUUGAAGAGUUUGAUCAUGGCUCAGAUUGAACGCUGGCGGCAGGCCUAACACAUGCAAGUCGAACGGUAGCACAGAGAGCUUGCUCUCGGGUGACGAGUGGCGGACGGGUGAGUAAUGUCUGGGAAACUGCCUGAUGGAGGGGGAUAACUACUGGAAACGGUGGCUAAUACCGCAUAACGUCGCAAGACCAAAGAGGGGGACCUUCGGGCCUCUUGCCAUCAGAUGUGCCCAGAUGGGAUUAGCUGGUUGGUGAGGUAACGGCUCACCAAGGCGACGAUCCCUAGCUGGUCUGAGAGGAUGACCAGCCACACUGGAACUGAGAC